AUAGGCACAACUUUUUGAAGGGGUCUGUUUAUUCUAAAUGCAGAAAUUCAAUCUUAGCGUUGAACAAAUAAAGGAUAUAUUUUAUCGCUCUCAAGAAUUGUUGAUAAGCUUUUUGAAGAAUAAAAAAAGCAUGAAGACUUUGCAUCAGAGGCUGAGCAAACACAACUGAAUUGUAUUGCUGACUUUAAGAAGUCUUUCGAGGAGCAAUCAAGAUCAAAUUCAGAGAUGCUUAUUGCGGAUAUGACCAGCUUAGUUUCUGAUCACAUUCGUCGUCAAAUGGAUCUGGUGGAUGAAAAGCUUGUUGAUCUUAGACAGAGCAGCAUUAAGAAUAAGACUUUCUUGGAUGAACAUGUGUCAUCAGUAGGAGAAAUUAUGUCCCAUGCAAAAAGGAAAUGGCAAUCUUUUUGUGUGCAAGCAGAGAAAGAGACCAAGGAUACUGCUGAUUAUUCUGCAGCAAAG
This is a non-coding RNA of Arachis ipaensis, 459 nucleotides long. The record is from RefSeq and is a predicted model, not a curated record. Lineage: Eukaryota; Viridiplantae; Streptophyta; Magnoliopsida; Fabales; Fabaceae.